GACGAACGCUGGCGGCGUGCCUAAUACAUGCAAGUCGAACGCUUGGUAAGGAGCUUGCUUCUUUACGAGGAGUGGCGAACGGGUGAGUAAUACAUAAGCAAUCUGCCCAUCGGCCUGGGAUAACAGUUGGAAACGGCUGCUAAUACCGGAUAGGUUAGUUUCUGGCAUCAGGGACUAAUUAAAGUUGGGAUACGACACGGAUGGAUGAGCUUAUGGCGUAUUAGCUAGUAGGUGAGGUAACGGCCCACCAAGGCGACGAUCGGUAGGGGUUCUGAGAGGAAGGUCCCCCACAUUGGAACUGAGACACGGUCCAA
Molecule: ribosomal RNA, 314 nt
Filed under: uncultured bacterium
Lineage: Bacteria
Description: bacterial SSU rRNA
Rfam family: Bacterial small subunit ribosomal RNA
Source: RNAcentral